GCCAGGUGCAGUGGUGAAAGCCUGUAAUCCUAGCAACUUGGGAGGCUGAGGCAGGAGGAUCACAAGUUCAAAGCUAGACUUAGCAAAAAAGCAAGGUGCUAAGCAACUCAGUGAGACCCUGUCUCUA
Molecule: small RNA, 127 nt
Filed under: Marmota monax (woodchuck)
Lineage: Eukaryota; Metazoa; Chordata; Mammalia; Rodentia; Sciuridae
Source: RNAcentral